GAUAAAUUGAGGCUCAGCUUCGUUAACAGCCUCUCUUCCUUGUUGCGGUGAUGUGGGUUAGACGUGCGGUGCAGGAGCGACAAUAACCGGUGUGUUGGAAUCAUCUUAUACGGAUUUAAGAACCUGGAUGCGUCUAAGGUCAUGGAUGCUGCAUGAGCUCUGGCUGCUGGAUUGCCUCAGGUGGAUACUUUGUAGUUUGAAAGGAUUAAAUUGAAUGUAAUGCAUUUGUUAAUUAAAAAUAACUAUUCACUGAAACAUCGAAUGACUCAUCUGUCAGUUUAAAAAUCUUCAGUGGUCACUGAAGUAGAUCAAGCUGUACAUGUUGUAGACAAUAAAACAUC
This is a long non-coding RNA of Archocentrus centrarchus (flier cichlid), 341 nucleotides long. RefSeq lists it as uncharacterized. Lineage: Eukaryota; Metazoa; Chordata; Actinopteri; Cichliformes; Cichlidae. The transcript has 3 exons. The record is from RefSeq and is a predicted model, not a curated record.